GGCAGGCCUAACACAUGCAAGUCGAGCGGAAACGAGUUAUCUAGAACCUUCGGGGGACGAUAACGGCGUCGAGCGGCGGACGGGUGAGUAAUGCCUAGGAAAUUGCCCUGAUGUGGGGGAUAACCAUUGGAAACGAUGGCUAAUACCGCAUAAUACCUACGGGUCAAAGAGGGGGACCUUCGGGCCUCUCGCGUCAGGAUAUGCCUAGGUGGGAUUAGCUAGUUGGUGAGGUAAUGGCUCACCAAGGCGACGAUCCCUAGCUGGUCUGAGAGGAUGAUCAGCCACACUGGAACUGAGACACGGUCCAGACUCCUACGGGAGGCAGCAGUGGGGAAUAUUGCACAAUGGGCGCAAGCCUGAUGCAGCCAUGCCGCGUGUGUGAAGAAGGCCUUCGGGUUGUAAAGCACUUUCAGUCGUGAGGAAGGUAGUGUAGUUAAUAGCUGCAUUCAUUUGACGUUAGCGACAGAAGAAGCACCGGCUAACUCCGUGCCAAGCAGCCGCGAGUAAUACGGAGGGUGCGAGCGUUAAUCGGAAUUACUGGGCGUAAAGCGCAUGCAGGUGGUUUGUUAAGUCAGAUGUGAAAGCCCGGGGCUCAACCUCGGAAUAGCAUUUGAAACUGGC
RNAcentral lists this ribosomal RNA (621 nucleotides) under Vibrio sp. TD20. RNAcentral describes it as "bacterial SSU rRNA". It matches the Rfam family "Bacterial small subunit ribosomal RNA", at positions 41 to 637 of the family's 1533-position model. The record is from RNAcentral. Lineage: Bacteria; Pseudomonadati; Pseudomonadota; Gammaproteobacteria; Vibrionales; Vibrionaceae.